GGUGAGUCACUGCUCCUAGCCUUUCCUUCUCUUCUUGAUCAGGUUUGUCACCAUCUGAUUCCCAUAUAUUUUAUGAAUUUAUUUCUUUAUUAUCCACCCCUUUAGAAUACAAUGAGCUUGAUGAGGGCAAGGAUUUUGUGUCUGUUUCAUUUACUGCUGUAUGUCUAGCACCUACAACAGUGCCUGGCACAUAGUAAGCACUCGCUAAAUUUCUGUUGAAUAAAUAAACUGAUUAAAGGAGGCUUCCUGUAUUAUGAUUGCCUAUCUCCAUGCUGGUCUCCUGUAUGCCACUGGGAGUCCUUUGAAGGUCGUCACCAGGACAGUUCAUUUUUGCAUGUAGAUCGUGCCUGGCACAUAGUCAAUACCAGAAAGUGGUUGUUCAUUUUAUGUUUCAGAGCACCUUGACGGUUCCGACGGUGUGAUAACAAGGUCUGAAACCUUAUAGCUGUGCAUUCUAUUUUUUUUGAGACGGAGUUUCGCUCUUUUUGCCCAGGCUGGAAUGCAAUGGCGUGAUCUCGGCUCACCACAACCUCCGCCUCCCGGGUUCAAGUGAUUCUCCUGCCUCAGCCUCCUGAAUAGCUGGGAUUACAGGCAUGCACCACCACCCCGGCUAAUUUUUGUAUUUUUAGUAGAGACGGGGGUUUCUCCAUGUUGGUCAGGCUGGUCUUGAACUCUCGACCUCAGGUGAUCCACCCCCCCGCCCUCGGCCUCCCAAAGUGCUGGGAUUACAGGCGUGAGCCACCGUGCCCGGCCUACAGCCUUGCAUUCUUAAUCAUGAAAGUGUCCAACCGAGGUUGGAAAUUUUCAACAGUGGUCCAUGAAGUGCAGAUGUGAGGUGCACUGUACCUCAGCCAGACGGUUCUCAUUGGACCUUUUGGGUUCUGCAAAUUCAAAGCAGGUAAAUUGGAAUGCAGCUUCAGUUAAGUGUAUAUUUAGUAAAAACAUGUCCUGGCAGUAUUUGUUACCUCCUGGGAGAAAUGCAUCUUACACUUGACUGUCUUCAGCCUUUAAGUUUCUGCCAGACUCCAGGAGAAGGCUGAGGGGAAGGAGCGAGCAUGUUUGUGGGAUCAGUGCAUAUACUCACACAUGCCAUUAUCCACAUGCUGUGAAGU
This 1112-nucleotide long non-coding RNA is filed under the name Macaca fascicularis (crab-eating macaque). RNAcentral describes it as "lncRNA (ENSMFAG00000064045.1)". The record is from RNAcentral. Lineage: Eukaryota; Metazoa; Chordata; Mammalia; Primates; Cercopithecidae.